RNAcentral lists this ribosomal RNA (253 nucleotides) under uncultured bacterium. RNAcentral's name for it is "partial 16S ribosomal RNA". It matches the Rfam family "Bacterial small subunit ribosomal RNA", at positions 524 to 776 of the family's 1533-position model. The record is from RNAcentral.
GACGAACCGUGCGAACGUUGUUCGGAAUCACUGGGCUUAAAGGGCGCGUAGGCGGGCAACCAAGUCGGGGGUGAAAUCUUUCGGCCCAACCGGAAAAGGGCCUUCGAUACUGGUUGUCUGGAGGAAGGUAGGGGUGUGUGGAACUUCCGGUGGAGCGGUGAAAUGCGUAGAGAUCGGAAGGAACGCCGGUGGCGAAAGCGACGCACUGGACCUUUUCUGACGCUGAGGCGCGAAAGCCAGGGGAGCAAACGGG